Molecule: long non-coding RNA, 1452 nt
Organism: Phacochoerus africanus (Common warthog)
Lineage: Eukaryota; Metazoa; Chordata; Mammalia; Artiodactyla; Suidae
Exons: 2
Source: RefSeq, a predicted model, not a curated record
CUAAAGAAACAGGCUCUAGGGGAAAUCUUUUCUAAUAAUGCCCUAGAGCUGGGUUAUUUCCUAGCCUGGCCCCCAAAUGUCUUUGACGGCAACGUGGCUACAGGGUAGAAUGUGGCUGACCACAACCAUCCUGCAGCAUGGUCCUGGCAUAGGCUCACCCGAGGACACUGCGGGGCAAGAGUGCACAGCGCUGGAGUCAAACAGCCGAGGAAAGGAACCCCAGCUGAACCACUUUCUGGCUGUGGCCAAAUUAAGAUCUAUAAGUGGAAGUUAAUGCUACCCAGACCGUUGCCUUGACAAAUCAGAGGAAAAAAUAUGCAAAGGCUCUGCCUGAUAUGAAGUGCUCGGAAAAUGCUAUCUGUGGUCACUAAUUACCUAAGGGAAGGCUACGGAAACUAGCAGGAAGCCGAAGACUCGGGGCGGAGAAGGAACCGAAAUAGCCCGGGCGGCUCCGCCCACAGUGAGAGCAUCCGCUCCGCGAGGCGGGAAGAGGCCCCACUGCCCUCGGGCCGGAGCCGCCUGGUGGGGAGGGGGUGUCACGCUUCAGAAAAGGGCGAGGACUGGCCCCGACCUUCAGCUGAGGAAGGAAACAAUGAAGCCACGUAACAAAAGUUCAAGGCCAAACGUAGCGCCCGCCCAGCGCUGGACCGCGGCUUCCUCUCCGCCGGCUCCGGGGAGUCACCUGACCUCGCUUUAGCAGUCGCGGACGCCGAAAGGGUCCUGCAGCACUUCUCGCAGCCAAUCGGCGGCGUCCCUGCCCCUCGCAGCCAAUCAGUGGCGUCCCUGCCCUCGCAGCCAAUCAAUGGCGGCCCGGCCUUCCUAGCCAAUCUGGUCCUCCGCCCGCCGGCCUCUCGCGCGUGAGGAGGGAAAGCCCGGCUUCCGAAGACCCCUGGAAAAAGACGCGUUGAGCGUGCAAAAAACGACUUUGUUUCCACUGGGCCAGGUAUAUUCUGAAGCCUGCAGAGCGUCCAUCAGGGACUGCCCAGGCCCGGGAAGAGCGCGCCUUCUCUUUGUUACAGAACUAGCCACCCGCAACCCCGCGGACCCCUAGGAGACUGCCCUUGCAGCUCGCAGCCGACCAGCUGUUGGAACGUGUCUCAUAUGGGAAGAAAUGCUUGCAGUUUCAAAGGUCCAGCCCACGGGCUCAGACGCUGCCGCACAGCUCAGAACUCUGAAACUCUUGAUUCUACCCUGCUGUGUGCCUGGGAUUUGACCUGCCUCUCAUAUGGAGAGAAGCUACCUGAGUGCAGGAAAUAGCCUUGACUGUAGCCUCAGCCUCUAGCUGGAAUGCCCAGGUCCAGCUCCCAGGAUGCCAGUGUUCCCUAAGAACUCCGUUUCAGAACCACUGAACUAGAAUUUGGAGUUUAAAAGUAAGUCCAGAGGGGAAACUGGAGACAGCUAUAAAAGUUUGACCUUUAAUAAUUAUGAUGAUAAUAAAACAGCUGUUGUUUA